ACCGAGGUAUCGACGUAGUGGUCUGCCGUAAGGCAAAUGCAAAACAAGAUGAGCGUGUAAUCACAAACAAAAGAAUAUAUUUAAAUAUGUUAAGAGCAUACAAGUGAUGUCACUCUGCCAUCAGCCAACGCAUUUGGGUGCAUGUUUAUAAAAAAGGACCUAUUACGCAGCACUUGGGAACGUGCCUAUCAAUUGUUAACUAGAAUUCAUUCACAUUCUUGGCAAUACAGCUCAGACUUAUUGUAGGGCCGAAAUUCUCUUUCGAAUAAGUGAUUUCAUUGUGGGAUGAUGGAUGAGGGCAGACUUCAUAUCAUCUGCAGAUAUAUGCACUUUCUUUUGGACUACCCUGGUAACUUGAUGUCACGGCUACAACGCCCACACCCGUCUUCCUAUCGUCUGCAAAACAACCGGAUUUGCACUUGGCUGCAUGUCCUGCGUGCGCCCCCACGCCUCACAGCAGGCUCCUUUUACGGCAUUCUGCUUACAGGACAAAGUCCCUUUGGUUUCAGGAAUGGACUGACGCCCAGCCCAACGUGGCUACACUAAAGGACAAAGAAAAACGGUGAAAAUGGGACCAAGAGAAAAUGCAACAAGCCCGUUUCCAGAGGAAAACGCCAAGGCAGACUUACCCGACAUGCUGGCUGGGUGGAGGAAAAGGCUCCUGGAACAACUCCUAUGAGAUUCUCCAACGUCCCUUUUCUGCUUCAUUAAAUGGCCAAGAACCAAUAUCUUGCAAAAAUUGAAAAAGAUCGCACCACAAAAGUGUCAAAACAGCGUGAGAGCAUGCAACAAUAGUGUUAUAUACCUGGGGAUAUAUUAGUUUGUGAUUUUCUCCCUCCAUGCCUACUAUUUAAAACCCCUAGAACUCAAUGAUUUGACAAUGAUUUGAUUGCGCGUUACUUUCAAUUUGAAUAUUCAGAGGCAACUCAAAAAUAUCGAUUUUUCACUGCAAUUCAUCAUUUAUACACACUAAAUAAGUCCCACUUUAAUAGAUUAUAAUAGUAUUUUAUAUUUAAAAGAAAAUAAAUUGAUGUUUUAUACAUUUAAUGGCCCUUUUUGUAUUUCCGACCAUCCACACCCCCUGUCCAAUGCGCAUUGAGAGCCCACUCAUGCCUUUGGGACUACAAUCUUACGUUUAUUAAGACCAUUCAACACUCCAACAAUGUUUUGCAAUAAAUGUUUUAACACAAAAUUUAAUAACAAUUGAUUAAGUUGUAAAUUGGUGGGCGUGGCAAGGGGCAGCAGCCAUCUUGGGCAUCGCAGGCUUCAGGCUCACACGACAAGUGCUUCACUCUCACACACACGCGGGCUGGGGCCUCUCCAGGCUGCUCUUUGUUAUACUUUAUGUUAGAUACACUUCACAUCAGUCAAAUUGUAUCUGCUUGGAUCAGAUAACUAGCCUAAUGAUAAUUAAUGGUUUCCUAGAAUAUUUAACAUCCAAGAAUUUCUUCGCAAACAUUUAGAAAUACGUUUAGUAGCCUAAUAUAGAUAUUUAAUUAUGUUCGUUAAAUGAACGUUUUUCACUCGUUUUGCGUUAAUUACACUCAAUAUUUAUUUCGUUAUCUUACCACUGAGAAGGACGUCCAGUAGCCUGUAGGGACUGUUCUCUCUACCCGUGUCCGGUAUGGACAUACUGUCAUUUCUUCUUAGGCCUAAAAAAAGCCUUUACUAAGAUAUAAAAGGCCUUGAAAGGCCUUUGAUAAGAUAUAAAAGGUCUAUUAUAAUUUGGCUACAGUUUUGCUACAAUAAAAAAUGCACCGCUUGGGAUUAAGAUUUGUUCAAUUAGUUUGAGAUGAAUAAUAAUGUAUUUUCUCAAAGAACGUUGAUCUGUAAUACAUUAAUUAUAAUGAACUUUGGACACAUAAAAAGCACAAGUCCUUUGAGUGAUUUAUCUUUCAUUUCACGAAAAAAAA
Gadus morhua (Atlantic cod) is the source of this 1913-nucleotide long non-coding RNA. RefSeq lists it as uncharacterized. NCBI's taxonomy places the organism in Eukaryota, Metazoa, Chordata, Actinopteri, Gadiformes, Gadidae. The record is from RefSeq and is a predicted model, not a curated record. The transcript is spliced from 3 exons.